GACAGCAGUCGCCGCGGUAAUACAGAGGGUGCGAGCGUUAAUCGGAUUUACUGGGCGUAAAGCGUGCGUAGGCGGCUUUUUAAGUCGGAUGUGAAAUCCCUGAGCUUAACUUAGGAAUUGCAUUCGAUACUGGGAAGCUAGAGUAUGGGAGAGGAUGGUAGAAUUCCAGGUGUAGCGGUGAAAUGCGUAGAGAUCUGGAGGAAUACCGAUGGCGAAGGCAGCCAUCUGGCCUAAUACUGACGCUGAGGUACGAAAGCAUGGGGAGCAAACAGGAUUAGAUACCCGCGUAGUCCCUGUCUCUUAUAC
This 306-nucleotide ribosomal RNA is filed under the name uncultured bacterium. Its description in RNAcentral is "partial 16S ribosomal RNA". It matches the Rfam family "Bacterial small subunit ribosomal RNA", at positions 507 to 807 of the family's 1533-position model. The record is from RNAcentral.